Molecule: long non-coding RNA, 6791 nt
Filed under: Sus scrofa (pig)
Lineage: Eukaryota; Metazoa; Chordata; Mammalia; Artiodactyla; Suidae
Description: lncRNA (ENSSSCG00005043406.1)
Source: RNAcentral
AGAUAUGCAUUAAUGGUGGAACUUCCCAGCAAAAUAUUCCAAUACAAUGUAAAUCAUUACCUACUAAAAAUCUCAGUUCCACAGAAGGAGAUGAGCCAUAUUGGGAACCUGUAAGAAUACAUGCUUACAUCAUCUUCAAUGCAUGAAAGCAGUAUCUAUAUGAGAAAUUAUUGAAUGAGAUAGCAGAUUCUGAAACAUAUUACAAGAGAAUUGCUUGUCCAGUAUCCCUCAGAAAAUUGAUGGCUGGCCUCUCUCUAAAACUUUUCCACUUACUCUCUGCUAGAAACAUAUGCUCUGAAGCAUUACAACUCUAAAAACCUUUUCAUGGAAUUCACUAGAAACUUAAAUUCAUUGCUCAGAAAUGAGUGGAAAACCACUUAGCCUGUAAGUAUAAGGCAAGAGAGACCUGUAUUUGCUCUUGUUGGGCCAUAAAGCAAUCUUACCUCAGGUACUCCAGUAACUACAACUGCAUGAGAAUGAGAAUUGUGAUAUGUUCACAAAAAUAAAUCUUUGUAACUUUUCCCAAGGUGGAAGACAGAGACCUGUCCCACGUUCCUUUUAAAUUUGAAUCCAAAUUCUUGCCUCUGUUUAAUCCAGAGCCUAUGCUGCCGUGCCCAGUCCAUCCAUUUAUUUAUUUAUUACAUUUACAUAGCACCUUUCCUCCAGAGCAACGUCUUUGUCAGAGCUGGCUCCUGGGGGAACAAUUGAUCACAGGGAUGUUGUGGAGCCUGCAGAGUAAGCAGAAUAUCAAACACUCUCUUAUAUUAGAAACAGGGAUGACUUCCCAGGAUUUUUACUGUGCAGAUGCUUAUUUCACUUCAUUUUUAAAGGAUGGUUACUAUAGGAAAUUUCUAAAAUCCUGGAAGGGGUAAAAUUUCUCUGUUUUAUUCAUUUUAUAGCCCUAAAAAAUAAUGCCUAUCCUACCAUUUUGUCACAGUCUGAUAACAAAUUAAAGUAGGUAAAUUUUCUUAUUUGCCAGUUUAAAUAAGGUAGGAGAAAAGUAGAAAUGUCUCUUGUUCAUUGGAAUUGGGCUUUGGUAGAUUCAUAGACAUUUUGAUUUAUAGAUAUAUCUCUCAAUCUUUUCUGAGCUGUGUCAUACCUUUUUAUCUCAGUACACUUAAAAAAAAAAACAGGCAACGGUUAAAACAUUGAAAACACAUUGCAGGUUAUAUUUGUGUUGGGAGUGCAUUGUCCUUGACCCAUAUGAUAAUAGUUAGGAGGUACUAACACAGAGCUGCUGAUAGUCAUGUUUCUGUACUCUAGCCAUAACAACACAUUACCAUGUUUCUUCACAGUGGAUAAACAUGGAAGUGCUUUAAAACAAUGCUUAAGAGGUUGACGGAACAGGUGAAGACAUAUUAUUGCCAAAAGAGCAUUAAGGUAAGGUCGGGAAAAUUGACUUACAGCCUAAGAUUCAUCAUUACUUGCUGUGUGACUUUGGAUAAUUCAUUUGCUAUUGAUAAUUCAUUUGCUAUUGAUAAUUCAUUUGCUAUCUCUGACCCUUAGUUUCCUCAUCUAUACACUAAAGUGGAAAUCCUAGACAAUCUCAGGUCAUUUCCUCAAUGAGUCUUCUUGGAAACUUGAAUCAGGUUCUCAGAAGUCAUUGGUAAAGAUAAAGUAGGUGAUAGAAUCAAACCUUGUGACCAUAUUUGUUGCCUAUAUUUGUUGUAUAUUUACUACAUGCCAGGUGUCAUGCUAGGUAACACAAACCUAAAAAAGAGGCUUCUCAGUGAGAGAAAGCUUAUAUUCCAGGGAGACGGAAAUUAAAUGAAAAGGUGCUUAUAUACUUACAACUGAGAUUUAAAAAAAACUGUGCAACAAAAAAUACAGGAUGUUAUUGAGAGGUUAUAAUACAAUUUAGUUAUCUAGGCCAAGUGCAUGCUUUGUUGGAUUUUGUUAAAAAUUCUCUGCGAUAUUUCCAAGGAGCAUAUUUUUUUUCACGCAUGUGUUUUAGGGAGAGUCAUAGCGCAGGGCUACAAUUGAUGAAGCAUCUUUCAGAGCAUUAUUUAUAUCCUGAAACAGUAAAAGCAAGCAGUUAACUAUAUCAUAAGAGCCACCCGAAAUUACGCUGAGUCUCUUUACAGCAAAACAUGGAACAUCAAUAUGGUUUUCUGGCUUAUUUCAGUGACUUUAAUUCUGGACUAUCUUUUUAAAGAUAUUGGUACAGUGAAAACUCUUGGAAGAUAGAGAUAGUGUUUCCUAUCAGAACAAAUGGUAAAUUUGCUCAUAGUCUCAGAAGAAAGGCUUGCUUUGCUGUGCAGUAUAAUAAAGAUAAUGAUUCCCCACUCCCUGGAGAAAGGGGAGGCAUAUUUAUCACCCAUUUUGAAAGAUUUGGUUAUUCUAGGAUCACAUUCCUCUCCUGGGACACAAUCCACUAUGUUAAUUGUGCUAAUUCAAACAUGUAAGUAAUAUUUAGCCCUCUUCCUGUCAUGCUAUAGGGAUUGGAGCUUUGGGAGCAAUGCAAAAAUUACUGGUACUCUGGCUGCUGAUAUCACUGCAAAUAAUAAACUGUCCUUUGUCUUAUGAUUUAUAACAGCAUCCAUGAAUUUGUGGCAGGAUAAUUUGGUAGUUUUCAAUAAUGUAGGACUUUUAAUAAUAGCUAAUGGAGAGAAAGGAACAAGGUUUUUGUUUGUUCUAUUUUCUUUAGGAUGGAAAAACACGAAAGCACAUCCACAGCUACUAGUUGAAUCUGGCUUGAAACAAACAACUGUGACUUGGAAGAGCUUAUUACUGUUGUUUUUAAAAGAAUCUUUCUGCAUAAAGGAUUGUUUAUUUUAGUGGUAAUAAUAAUAUGUAUGGUCUUUAUUGAGUAUGUAUUACUUUCCUAAUACACAGAUCACUUCUUUUUAGGGCUGCACCUGAAGCAUAUGGAAGUUUGCAGGCUAGGGGUUGAAUAGGAGCUGCAGCUGCCAGCCUAUGCCACUGGCAUAGUAAUGCCAGAUGUGAGCCGCAUCUGCCACCUAUACCACAGCUCACAGCAAUGCCAGAUCCUUAAUCCACUGAGCAAGGCCAAGGAUCAAACCCACAUCCUCAUGGAUACUAGUUGGGUUCAUUACCACUGAGCCACAGUGGAAACUCCCAUCAAUUCAUUUAAUCCUCAGGGAGAAAAAAAAAACAAAAAACAAAAAACGAAGAAAUAGGAUACGCUUGGGCUCACACUUUUGCCAACCUGCCUACUGUUACUUCUCACUCUUGCUGUAGCCUUUUUGGUCAUUCCACUCCGUACACCAUGGUCACUCUAGUUCUCACUUUAUCCAUAUAGAAACUUGAAGCUCUUGGGUUCUUGGUAAUCUAGGACUCAAACAGCAUGGUGCCAUUUUUCCUCCACUGACUAUGGCACUCUGUGGAGGAUGCUCCUUCUGUCAGCAUGCACAGAGACCAUUAACUCCCAGCCAGGUUAUACAUUAUUUAACUUUAAUUCUGUCCUUAAUGACCUCAGGCCAAAACAUAAGUCCAUAUCAUCCCCAGACAGACCAAGAGUCCCUCUUUCUCAAGACUAAUUAUUUGUGGUUACAGUAGAAUGGGAGUAUUGUAUUGCAGCCAAGUAUAUUUGGGGAUCAGUUUUCUUAAUUUUUGAGUAUAAAUAUUACUAGUAAUAAGUGUCUCUAUGUGUCUAGCAAUGACCAUAUGUAAUCUUGAGUCUUCAUGAUAAUCCAAAGGACUGAAACUAAGCUUCACAAGAUCAAGAAAAUUUCAGUAUAGGAUAAGCAAUAAGUAGAAUAUAGUUAUUAAAAACUUUGGUUCUGGGGAGUCCCCACUGUGGCUCAGUGGGUUAAGAAUCCAUGUGCAGCAGCUUUGGUCACUGCGGUGGUAUGGGUUUGAUCCCCUGCCUGGUGCAGUGGGUUUAAGAAUCCCAUGUUUCCACUGCUGUGGCUUGGAUUCAAUACCUAGCCCAGGAACCUCCAUAUGCUGCAGGUGCAGACAUUAAAACAAGAACAAAAACCAAAAAAAAAUUUUGGCUCUGGAGUCAGGCUAACUACAAAUUAAAAUUCUGACUCUACCUUCUCCUAGCUUUGACCUAAUUGUUAAGCCUCAGUUUCCUCUGUGCAUAAGGAGAAUAAUAAGAGCAUUUAAUUUAUAAGGAUAUUGUGAGGAUUUAAUUGAAGUGCUGCCAUAUGUUUUGAAAAAUGUCAAGUGAAUAGUAACUGCCCAACAAAUACCUGCAGUUAUUGUUAUUAAUCCCAAUUUAAGGUAAAAAGUGAGCGAGUGGUAGUACAUGACUUGAACUCAGGAUAAGAUUACCAGGAAAAAUGCAAGACACACAGUUACACUGAAUUUCAGAUUAAAAAAGAAUUUUUUUUUGGUAUAAGUAAAUUCCAAAUAUUUCAUGGAACAUCCUUGUACUAAAAAUUAGUCAUUUUUUUUCUGACAUUAAAAUUUAACUAGACAUGUUAUAGAUUUCCUAAACUUAACUUUAAAUCAAGUUAAAUUAGUCCUAAAACCCAUGCCUUGUGCACUGUACUAAAUUAAAGAAAAUUGAUUAUUUCAAUAUUGUCUAUAUUAUCUCCUUUUUUUCCCCAAAAAUCUGUAUUUCCUGUGUUUCUUCUUAUUCUCAACAGUCACUGGAAAGUAGUUGAGAGAAGGGAGAGAUGAAGAAACUCAAAUCACAUAUUAUUGUUAUCAGCCCUGACAGAAUUUAAGAAAAUAUAAGCUGAAUUAAGUGAUAAAAAGGUGUCAGGGACUAGCUCUUUUGGGGAAGCCUGCCUUGAGUUCAUGCUGGAUUAAUUAGCCUCUUUUGUGCUUCAUACCAUGCUAGGAAAUGUCCCUCUACCAGGCCACUUCUCACACUCACCAGGGCAAACAUGGACUCUCAUCAGAAUUAAGGGCUUAUUAAACCAGAGGUGUCUGGGUCCCACUGUCAGAGAUUCUGACCAAGUAGAUCAGGGUAGACCAUGAGAAUUUGCCUUCUAACCAGCUUCCAGGUGAUGGUCAUGAUGUCAGUCCAGGAGACAUACUUUGUCGACUUUGACUUUAUUGUAAUUAUCAGUUUACUCCUUUGUCCUCUGAUUAGGUGGUGAGAUCUUUUUUUUUUUUUUUUUUUUGGUGGUUGUUGUCUUUUUGCCAUUUCUUGGGCCACUCCUGUGGCAUGUGGAGGUUCCCUGGCUAGGGGUCUAAUCAGAGCUGUAGCCACUGGCCUAUGCCAGAGCCACAGCAAUGUGGGAUCCGAGCCGCAUCUGCAACCCACACCACAGCUCAUGGCAAUGCCGGAUUCUCAGCCCACUGAGCAAGGCCAGGAUCAAACCUGCAUCCUCAUGGUUCCCGGUCGGAUUCGAUAAUCACUGCACCACUACGGGAACUCUGAGAUCUUUGAUAGUGAAUCUAAUGCUAACUUCCCCAAAUUCAAUUUUCCAAAAGUCAGCUCACCAAAGAUUAAUGCUCAUCAACUCCUUGCAGACUUGUUCUUGGUAUAUUUGGUUUGCCCCAGCCCAAUCUCUAUUCUGCCUUUGUUCCUGCCCAACCCUGGCCCUGGAGAAAAUCUGGCUGUGGUGAACUCAGCUAGACUUCGCGUUUUUCAGACAGCCUCUGUGUCUGGCCCAAAGGUGGGGCCAAAGGUCAGGGCAAAGACGAAAUAUAGACAGGGCAUAUAUCCACUAGACAGAGGUUAAAGUAUCACACACAAAUAGACAAGGAAAAGCACAUUCAAUCUCCAUUCACCUAAACAGGGCAGGAACAAAGUAAGUGUGAAAGUUAAAUAAAUAAAUACAAUUAAAUAGCUUUUCAUUGAGUUAGUCACUUAGUGAAUUAAUAUCAGGAGACUUUUUUGUUGUUGUUCAUGAAUUGCUAUUUAACAAAUUAACUUUGAUCUUUCUUUGGGGUAGGAAUCAUCUUGUUUAACAUUAAAUAAUAUAUAGUACUUCUAAGUACUUAAUAAUUCUCAUUCAAUUAUUGAAUAAAUGAAUUUGUAGAAGUCAAUUAGCCAUGAUACUCUUGAGCCUUAUGAUGAGUGAGAGGAUUACUUAAAUAUCAAAUUGGAAAGAGAUUAGCAGGUUUUUUUUUCUGUAAGAUGUAUCAGAUUUAAUGCAGUAUCUCCAAAUGAAAAGUGUGUCUCUUGAAAGUAGCAGCUGUUCUUUAAGACUAUGAUUCAGUAAAUUCUAAUUUUUCUUCUACUGACAAUUCUUUUACUGACAUAUAGUGCAAAGAUAUUACAGAAGUUAGAAAUAAUAUUGAGAAAAAAGGCAAAGUAAGCUUGUCUGGAUUAUUACUAUGCCUCUUGAAGCUAGAGUAAUAGGGGGUCUUUCUGUUGAGCUGGAAAACUUUUGGUUGUUGUGGAAAUAUGUUAAGGAAAUGCUGAUGAUCCUGAUUCAUUUUAAGGAAGCUUAAUUGACACAUGAUUGGAAAUGCAGAAGACAGAACUACUAUCUGCCUAUGUUCUAGAAAUUAGGUAUUCCUAUAUAGUUUAGGAAUAAAGUAUUUAUUAUAUGGUCUGAAUAUCUUUUAAGACUGAAUAUCCUUUUCAAAGUCAUCUUACACCAUAGAAUCUUAUAAUUGGAAAGGACUUGAAAUAUUACAUGGUUAAUAUAUACACUUAAAACAGUUGCUAGGAGUUCCGUUGUGGCUCAGCAGUUAACAAAUCUGACUAGUACCCAUGAGGAUGUGGGUUCCAUCCCUGGCCUUCUUCAGUGGGUUCAGGUUCUGGUGUUGCCAUGAGCUGUGGUGUAGGUCAUAGAUGUGGCUUGGAUCUGGCAUUGCUGAUGCUGUGGCCUAGGCCAGCAGUUGUAACUCCAAAUUGACCCCUAGCCUGGGUACUUCCAUAUGCUGUGGGUGUGGCCCUAAAAAGCAAAAAAAAAAAA